This 410-nucleotide unclassified non-coding RNA is filed under the name Hevea brasiliensis (rubber tree). Lineage: Eukaryota; Viridiplantae; Streptophyta; Magnoliopsida; Malpighiales; Euphorbiaceae. The record is from RNAcentral.
GGUAUAAAUAGAUAGGAUUAUGUGACUGGAUUAAAUUAUAAAAUAAUUUUACAAAUCCAAUCCACUGUCUAUUAAUCUAAUUUGGGAUAAUUCAAUUAUUAUAGAGAAAUUAAAUUGGAUUUAAUCAUAUCUUAAAAGUUAAUUUAAGGGGAGAAAAUUUAUCCAUAAAUAUAUUAUUUUAAAAUAAUGUGAGACAAUGUACUCCUUUAUACCUAGACAUAAAAUAAAACUGUUUCAAUAGUUAGCUUUUGGGUGGGUGGUGAUAGCUCCAGUCUAUUUUUUUUUACAAUUAUGACCAAUAAAAAACAUUCGGGGUAACGUACGGCCAUGAUUACCUUCAAAGAGAGAUGAGGCUGUUGCUUCUUGUGCAUCUAAUUCUAUUAAUGGUGGGCUAAAUUCUGCACUCUUCC